GAUGAACGCUGGCGGCGUGCCUAAUACAUGCAAGUAGAACGCUGAAGCUUGGUGCUUGCACCGAGCGGAUGAGUUGCGAACGGGUGAGUAACGCGUAGGUAACCUGCCUCUUAGCGGGGGAUAACUAUUGGAAACGAUAGCUAAUACCGCAUAAAAGUCGAUAUCGCAUGAUAUUGAUUUGAAAGGUGCAAAUGCAUCACUAAGAGAUGGACCUGCGUUGUAUUAGCUAGUUGGUGAGGUAACGGCUCACCAAGGCGACGAUACAUAGCCGACCUGAGAGGGGGAGCGGCCACACUGGGACUGAGACACGGCCCAGACUCCUACGGGAGGCAGCAGUAGGGAAUCUUCGGCAAUGGGGGCAACCCUGACCGAGCAACGCCGCGUGAGUGAAGAAGGUUUUCGGAUCGUAAAGCUCUGUUGUAAGAGAAGAACGAGUGUGAGAGUGGAAAGUUCACACUGUGACGGUAACUUACCAGAAAGGGACGGCUAACUACGUG
RNAcentral lists this ribosomal RNA (497 nucleotides) under uncultured bacterium. RNAcentral's name for it is "partial 16S ribosomal RNA". It matches the Rfam family "Bacterial small subunit ribosomal RNA", at positions 28 to 507 of the family's 1533-position model. The record is from RNAcentral.